This 46-nucleotide non-coding RNA is filed under the name Schistosoma margrebowiei. The record is from RNAcentral. Lineage: Eukaryota; Metazoa; Platyhelminthes; Trematoda; Strigeidida; Schistosomatidae.
AUCCAGUUGACGAGUUCAAAAAUGAGACGAAACGCACGUCCUGCAU